AUUGAACGCUGGCGGCAUGCCUUACACAUGCAAGUCGAACGGUAACAGGUCUUCGGAUGCUGACGAGUGGCGAACGGGUGAGUAAUACAUCGGAACGUGCCCGAUCGUGGGGGAUAACGGAGCGAAAGCUUUGCUAAUACCGCAUACGAUCUACGGAUGAAAGCAGGGGACCGCAAGGCCUUGCGCGGACGGAGCGGCCGAUGGCAGAUUAGGUAGUUGGUGGGAUAAAAGCUUACCAAGCCGACGAUCUGUAGCUGGUCUGAGAGGACGACCAGCCACACUGGGACUGAGACACGGCCCAGACUCCUACGGGAGGCAGCAGUGGGGAAUUUUGGACAAUGGGCGCAAGCCUGAUCCAGCCAUGCCGCGUGCAGGAUGAAGGCCUUCGGGUUGUAAACUGCUUUUGUACGGAACGAAAAGACUCUUUCUACUAAAGAGGGUCCAUGACGGUACCGUAAGAAUAAGCACCGGCUAACUACGUGCCAGCCGCCGCGGUAA
This 498-nucleotide ribosomal RNA is filed under the name uncultured bacterium. RNAcentral describes it as "partial 16S ribosomal RNA". It matches the Rfam family "Bacterial small subunit ribosomal RNA", at positions 30 to 523 of the family's 1533-position model. The record is from RNAcentral.